UAUGCCUUAAUAUAAGCUGUAUAUUAAUUUUUGAUAUUAAAAGAGGGGGUCAAAUUCCACCAGGCGUAA
This 69-nucleotide transfer RNA is filed under the name Fleutiauxia armata. Its description in RNAcentral is "tRNA-Gln". The record is from RNAcentral. Lineage: Eukaryota; Metazoa; Arthropoda; Insecta; Coleoptera; Chrysomelidae.